This 1243-nucleotide ribosomal RNA is filed under the name metagenome. Its description in RNAcentral is "bacterial LSU rRNA". It matches the Rfam family "Bacterial large subunit ribosomal RNA", at positions 1564 to 2816 of the family's 2925-position model. The record is from RNAcentral.
UGAAUACGAGAUGCUACGGCGUCGAAGCAGUCUAUGUCAUACUUCCAAGAAAAGCUUGCACUGUCAUAAACAAAUAAUGCCUGUACUAUAACCGACACAGGUGGGUAGGUAGAGUAUACUAAGGGGCGCGAGAUAACUCUCUCUAAGGAACUCGGCAAAAUGACUCCGUAACUUCGGGAGAAGGAGUGCCUUAUUUAUAAGGUUGCAAUAACAAGAUCCAAGCAACUGUUUACCAAAAACACAGGUCUCCGCUAAGUCGUAAGACGAUGUAUGGGGGCUGACGCCUGCCCAGUGCCAGAAGGUUAAAGAAGUUGGUUAGCAUCCGCGAAGCUGAUAACUGAAGCCCUGGUGAACGGCGGCCGUAACAAUAACGGUCCUAAGGUAGCGAAAUUCCUUGUCGGGUAAGUUCCGACCCGCACGAAAGGCGUAAUGAUUUGGAUACUGUCUCGGAGAGGGGCUCGGUGAAAUAGACUUGUCUGUGAAGAUGCGGACUACCUGCACCAGGACAGAAAGACCCUAUGAAGCUUUACUGUAACCUGAAAUUGAAAUUGGACUUUACUUGCGCAGUAUAGGUGGGAGGCGUUGAGAAUAUUCUUGCGGGAUUAUUGGAGCCAUCAGUGAGAUACCACUCUUGUAAUGUUAGAUUUCUAACUUUGUAUCAUUAUCUGGUCAAAGAACAGUUUCAGGCGGGCAGUUUGACUGGGGCGGUCGCCUCCUAAACGGUAACGGAGGCGCACAAAGGUUUCCUCUGAACGGGUAGAAAUCGUAUCUAGAGUGUAAAGGCAUAAGGAAGCUUGACUAUGAGACCUACAAGUCGAGCAGGGACGAAAGUCGGUCUUAGUGAUCUGACGGUGCUGAGUGGAAAGGCCGUCACUCAACGGAUAAAAGUUACUCUAAGGAUAACAGGCUGAUCUCCCCCAAGAGUUCACAUCGACGGGGAGGUUUGGCACCUCGAUGUCGGCUCAUCGCAUCCUGGGGCGGUAGUACGUCCCAAGGGUUGGGCUGUUCGCCCAUGAAAGCGGUACGCGAGCUGGGUUCAGAACGUCGUGAGACAGUUCGGUCCAUAUCCGGUGUAGGCGUUAGAAUAUUGAGAGGAGCCUCCUUUAGUACGAGAGGACCGAGAAGGACAUACCUCUGGUGUACCAGUUAUCGUGCCAACGGUAAACGCUGGGUAGCUAUGUGUGGAGUGGAUAACCGCUGAAAGCAUCUAAGUGGGAAGCCCACCUCAAGAUAAGUAUUCUCA